AUCAGUGACUACUCCUGUUCCGUUGUUUGCCCACUGGACAGAGACAUCACAAGCCCUCCUGCGAGGGGCCACCACUGGUCAGACUGAAGAACCAGAAGUUAGAGGACAUUACUGAGAGAGAGAAGCAAUUACAGCCUCAGGAAGCUGAUGUCUCAGUUGCAAAAGAUGUGGAGACGACAGUGGAAGCAGUAGGCUUGUUUCCCAGUUCUGUGCUGCUGACCCAAGAGGGAUGCUCUUCCUAUGGCGUAUUCUGAGAAAAAGCUACUGGACGGGUGGAGCUUAGGAUUGUACAUGACUGAAAACAGGCAGCAGCCUAGGUUGAAGCAGACCAGCAUGUGUUUUCAGCCAAGGUGGAGUUGCCUGAUGUGUUGAAGAUGGGGGAAGAGGAACAGGCAGAGGCUGCACGGUUAUUUGGAAAGCUCUGAGUUGAGGAAACAAGCGAGGGCCUGGAUGAACAUAAGGGAAUCAAUCUUGGAGCCAUUCAAGUUUAUAUUUUACAACACUGAAGACAUGUGGAAGGGUUUCUUUUCCCCUACUUGUACCCGGCCAAUUACCUCACUCUUCCGAGCUGUCCCGGUUGCGGCUCCACCCCCUCUGCUGAUCCGGGGAGGGCUGCAGACUACCACAUGCCUCCUCCAAUACAAGUUAUGUUGCCAGCCGCUUCUUCUCACCUGAUAGUGAGGAGUUUCACCAGGGGGAUGUAGCGCAUGGGAGGAUCAUGCUGUUCCCCCUCCUCCCUGA
Lampris incognitus (smalleye Pacific opah) is the source of this 741-nucleotide long non-coding RNA. RefSeq lists it as uncharacterized. The record is from RefSeq and is a predicted model, not a curated record. The transcript has 3 exons. Lineage: Eukaryota; Metazoa; Chordata; Actinopteri; Lampriformes; Lampridae.